CAUUCUGGUGGUUUCUAGCAUUUCCCUUUGAAAAGUCGUGCUGGAUGGACGUGUGUUUUUAAACGUUCUGUGUCUGGAAAGUUGUGUAACCAGAUAGUGAUUUAGCGCGCUGGUUAACUAUUCAGCAGCAAAAGAGUCGCAAAACGUGUGCAAACCUGUUAUACAUACAUAGAUUGUAAAGAAAAAUGUGAAGGCUGUGAAGAGUGUGAUAUGAAGAGGAUGAGCAAAUGGCCUUCGUAAGCGAGUGGUGUGAGUCAUGGGAGACUGCUGUAUAUCAACGCUCACCAGAAAGAAGCCUUUGGUCCGGAAUGCACACUCGUUUUCCUGCUCCUCGAAACGUUAAUGGCAACGAUGAGGAGGAACGGAACACUUAACAAACAACCGCAUCAAGAACGAAAUCGAACUGACACACAAAUCAAUCGAUGGGCAAAUCGGUACCUACAUCGCGUCAGUCAAUAAUCGUUUCAAAGAAUUUCGUUUCUAUAACUGAGUGAGUCUUCACGUCUGUCCGUCUUCCGUCAACCACAAUGGCAGCGACUUGCAAGCCAGCCGAUCCUACACAGUUCGCAGCGGCAGCAGCAGCAGCAGCAAACACCACCGAGUCUCCCUUGCCCAAAAUGCCAGAUGCAGCUGACAAGUAAAAUGGGGACAAGGCGGAAUUGCGCGCGGCAGCAGCAGCAGCAGCUUUAGCUCAACAGCAAACACGUGUGUGCCUUAUGCCUCCUGGUCGGUUACCAUCACAACUAUCACUACCUACUCUACAUAACGCGGUCAGCAGUUGCUGACGGCAUCCACCACCAACCCACACAGAUAUCUCUGCAUACACGCGGUAUUCGUAUAUCAGCUGCGAACGCAAAAACAAUUACUUUUUAAAACAGAUUUACAGCAACAAGGAGCGAAAGAAAGCAUCAACGUCAUCAUUGGAAUUUCUCUUAAAUUACACAGUUAUCUUGAAGGUCUGUCAUCAUCGUCAACGUCUUCACUUUGGGUUCGUCGUAUUUUCAUCUGUGUCCUUCGCUUUAUUCUGGUGGCACGUAAGCCGUAUCGAAUUUUUCUCCCUGAAUAACUCUUGAAUUACAGUCAUAAUUACAAAGCAGUCGGUUCUUGCACAAAUCUACAGAUUGAUAGAGGAGUCAUAAUCGAGCACACUUGCAUUUUAUGAGUCUAUGCGUCGCUCAUUAUAGGAAGAAGUUUGAAAUUUUAUCUCAAAAUUGUUACGCAUAAAUACGUGGGCUUCAAUUUUUUUUGUAGCGAUGCGUCACAGUUGAACAGUGCCUGUGAGCAUCGGAUUUCAUCAGCGGGACCUCGCAUCCUUUCUAGGCUUUGCAUUCAUGGGGUGUCGAAAGUGGAAGAUCAACCACAGAGUGUCUACCGUUUAACGCAAGCAAUAUGGAUGCACCCAAACCUUAUCUCUUGUCUAGGAAAAAGACUAUUUUUCGUUUACUAUAUUUUUAGAAAAACGGCGCAGUUGAACGGUGCCUGCGUUCGUCUGUAAGGAAGUUAUCAAGAAAAUAUGUCAAUGAGAUAUCGCAACCAUCAACUUUUCCUAUCAAAUCAUUACAAUUUUAGUGGGCUGCUCAUGUCAGUACGCCAGGAACACAAGUCGAGAUAAUCAAAUGGCAAAGCGUAACUCGUUUGUUAUUCUUAACAUGCACAAAAUGUCGCGUCUGUUUCUCUUUUAGAAAAUUGAGCCCAUGAUAUAGAUGCACAAUCACAAACGAUAAACAAUGUCUGUUGAAAAAGAGCUGAAACCAUGAAACUAUCACAGUCUUGCCGGAUCGGAUAGCGUAACUUUUACAUUUAGUACUCUUAUAAUUUGGCUCUUGUAGCCAACAAAACUAUGAUCGUACACUUGUUUAUGAUUUCCAGCCAUGGACUGGCUGCAAAGCCUAUAUCUAACGAGAGCGAGGUGGAUAUGUUAUCCUGCACGUAAUGUUCGGAGGAUCCUGUUCAGAACUAUAUCAGAAAAUGAAACGAGAAAAGCGUAAAUUUUGAGCCUAUCCACACAAAAACAUAUCUUUUUGUAUUUUAUAGCAAUAUGACGCAGUUGAACUGUGCCUGCGCAUAUUGGAAUUAGAGUUAAUCCCAUAAAUUGGGCUAUACUUGUAAGAGUUCAGCGAGGAAGCGUCAUCUUAAAGGAUUUUCACGUAAACUAUUCGAAUUUCCCUGUGCACAAAUCUUCCUUUUUCGUAUCUUGUAGCUAUAUAGCCGCAGUUGAAUGUGCCUGCGCAUAUCUGUCGGUAGCUGCUUCCCAAUGAUAAAAGGGCAAAGGGACCGUUUCGGCGAAGAAAUCAAGAUUUGGUUCUUUACCAGUGGAAACCAACCCUACAAUCGUCAUCUGCAAAAAUGGAUUUGUUACUUUUACAUUUUCUUCCCCUAGCUUAUUUUCUAAGCAUGUUAUGUAUUAAUUGCAGUGGCGUUUUUGGUUGAUGUUCGGAUGUUCAGAAAACACACAUUAACUCGAAUGAAUACCUGUAGCAAAAUUUCUUGAGGCAAUGGGAAUCAAAUGCCAACUUGAAAGCAAUAACACAUCACAACAUCUAUGUCGAUAAACCAAACCGAACUGUCAAGGUCAGCCCGACACUGAAUACAUCUUGAAUUGCUUAAACCUGUUUUACAGCCAUAUGAAAAGACGAUACUGAGUACUCGAAUAUAAUACCUUCAUAAAGGCAGCAGCACUUAACAUCUUUUUUAGAACGAGGAUAAUAGGCCUGCCCCCACUUCUGUCACACCGGAUUCAAGUUAAAGCGUGAGACAUUUGUGUUCGCUUAUCAUUUUGCUUUGCACUUUCACUUUUGCAGCGAUGCAUUGCUUGUGCGCAUAGACUUUUUACUGCAAUUUGUAUUUUUGGGACCGGUCUGGAGGCGGCCGAUGUACACAAACCUUUUCUCCAUCUCCAAACUACUAGCGUUCACACUGCAAAAUCGUUAAAGGGAAUCAAGAACGAUACAUCAAGUUCAUCCAGCUAGGCAAAUCGUCAAGCAAUGCCAGCACCAACAACACCACCACCACAACAACAAAAUAUGUUACAGCUGCCUUGAUGGCCAGAAAGUCGCAGAUCUCUAAACAUAGAUCGCCCGUACAACGUACAGUGUACAAUUAACGUUUUUACAUUACAGAAAACGUAAGCUGCAAAAAAAUGGCUGCGCUGAGUGGUUGGCGCACUCGCGCCACACAGACAGCUCCGGCACUCACAACCACUUGAGCGGAGCCAGACUCUGUUCUCUCUCCGCCGAGGAGGCAUCACAGCCUGGUUCGGCCAGGCCAGCCCGGGUCAGCUCAGCCAGCAAGUAAUGCAUUGCACCGCAUAGAAAUAUGCGCUCGGUCCGCGCUAAAGGGAAACAAAUGCGUUUGGACCGAGACCCCCGCCACACCACUCAAACACCAGCAGUCGCUCGAGAGGCGAGCUGAUGUGUUGUCGUUGUUAUUGGGCAGCUGCCUGCAAGUACGCUCAUGUCAUCGUCAGCAUCGCCGCCGUCGCCGCCGCAAGUUCCUCGAAUCCAUCCAGCAUUUUGUGUGUGUGCACAUGUAUGUAUUGUAGUAUGUAGUAGAAGCAGCUGAGCAGGCUAUAACGACCCGACCUAUGGAGAUCGUGGCUUAUCGCAAAAGGGAAUCAAAUGCGACUAGUAUUCAAGCAUCAGAACGAAGAGCUGUGCAGCAACAGCAGCAGCAGUCGAGGCAGACGGCGGCUUUCAAUGGGCAGUGAAGACGGCGGUGGUAUUCGAAAUCAACUGGUUUUAUAAUCUGUUGCAAAUUAUCCGCUCAUUCUCACUCACUUCUUAGGUAGCACAUGAUUUUUAACAGAAACUCACUCCGGUAAUCAAAAUCCAUCGCAAAGGGAAUCAAAUGCGAUUAGUGUUCGAUGACGAAGAAGCUAGCUAGUCAGACCAGCUCUACGCUACGCUUCGAUCUGCCAGUUGAGCGCUUAACUCCUGGUGCACCGUUCAACAUUCCGCAAAAGGGAAUCAAUUGCGAGGUGGUACUGCAGCAACGCACGCACACACACGCACACAGACACCCACACCUACACGCACUCAUGCACACAUGCGGAAUUUCCUCUUAUGUGGCAGUCCAACACGUCCUUGGCCCAAAAAGCAUCGAAAUCGUAAGACGAUUAAGAGCAGCAGAAAGCAGGCAGGCGGCAGGCAGGGAAACGAUGCCCGCAGCGAAAGAGAUUUACUUGUCGUCGUCAUCAUUGUUCAUGUUCUUGUUGUUAGUGGUGUGUAUACAUUUUUUCAGGUAAAUUCCAACCCAGCCGACUAGGACAGUUGUCUGUCGGUCUGCCAACAGCACGUACACGUCAAGUUGUUCUCGAAGGGAAUCCAUGAGACACGCGCUACAUCUGCAUACGACAUGUUACAUGUUAUUUUUCAAUGUAUUUUUUGUUUUGUCUAAGUUUAUUAUGUGCUUACAUGAGCAUACAAUUAAGUAUGUAUCUUCUUAUAGAGGCAAUCCUCUAACUCCGGGCUGUUUGAACGAAACUCUUCUGGCCAAGAGCCGUAGUCUACCAUGAAUGAAUGUUUAUUGUACAGCCCAUGUAAAGGUGCUAUAACAUGUUACUUUGUAAACAAUUGUAUAAGCCCGAUCUUUGUAUUGUAAGACGAUUGUAUUGUUAUAAUUGUAAAACUUUGACAUGUACAUAUUUGUGUAUGGCUUAAGAAACGAAGCAGGGACUCGUUCAUUGAAGAAUUCGACUGACGAGGACUCCCUGAUUGAUGUUCAACCCCUUAAUAUGAGAGUGAAGGAGCGACUUGAAAGAGGCUACUCCAUUGCGCUCUUAAGGCGGGCCUGGCCAUGACUUAUGUAUCCAUCUCCAGGGGCUUUUGAUGGUGCUGUACGAGCGGCGGAUGGGACAAUCAACCGUUCAAAUUGGCUGGCAGAACUAGCUUCAACUGUGCGAACUCUUGAUUACCUGGUCGUCGAUUCGCCAUCCACCGUUCCAUGUGCUGAGAUUGAAUCUCUCGAGCUUGCUUCUUUUUCGACUCUGAUGUCGCAUCAUCGCUUCAAAAUUCCUAAAACCUUAAAAUCAGCAAUUUUCUGUUGUAAGAGGCGGAGCUGCAGACUAAAACCAUCCGUUACGGCAUCGACGCUUCAUUCCAAGAAAGAGAUCUGCACUUGAGCUGGAGGUCUUCGUGUUCGUAACGCCACAUCUUAGCACGUCCUGUCGAUUUAACACCUAUAAUUGUUGGGAACAUUUCAUCUACUAUGUCACUGCAUCCAGUCCGAGGCUAAUAGGCAGAUCCACAGAUUUGCCAGCUACAACUCUACUAAUAAUAUUCAGAAAGCAAGCAACACAUCAUUCUCAUCGACACGUACGCCCGCACAAAUCAUUUUUGGCUUCGUCCGCUGACUGGGACACACACGGGAUAGUUUUUCAUUCUCAGUUCGGACCACUUCAGCCCCAAAAUACAACUUGAAAAUCGAACUUCGCAUCGACAACAUAAACACAUUCCCCAAUAUUAGGGCCCGCUGGCAGCUAUAGGAUCCUACUCAGAUCGUUUUCUUCUUGUCUUCUGCUACUCGACCCACUGUAAGGCCAAUGGUGAGGCCGUUCGUUUCUGACGUUUUCUGAAAGGACUUCGUUUCUGGCGAUUAGGAUUUUUUAAGGAUUGCAAAUAUUUUUGAAAAUUUCGGACAAUUGGGCACAAUUUGAAUACGUUUACAUACCGACGGCGGCGAGGGAUAAUAGUAAAUAUUGACAGCAGCGUGGGAUACCCAAAAAUGACUGCAGCGGGGGAUAUCAAAUUGACAGAACAGCGUGGAAUUCUCUUGUUUUCUUCGUGGGACUUAUAGGGCUUCGGUUAGGAGAUGUCGCUAGGUACAAGGCUUCUAUUAUUAGGACAACUGUGAAGGAGAGCCCAUUCGCAUAACGGAUAACUUGAUGUCAGGAGGAGAAUCGCAAUGACUGCGGCGUGGGAUCAUUGACUUUUGACUGCGGCGAGGGAGCAUUGACUUUUGACUGCGGCGAGGGACAUUAUCGCUGACUGCGGCGAGGGAGUUCAUUUGACUGCGGCGUGGGAUUGCACAUGACGGCGGCGCGGGAGCUCGAUACGGCGGCGUGGGAUCAUUUGACUGCGGCGAGGGAUCACUUGACUGCGGCGCGGGAUUAUUCGUCGUUUCAUCGGUGUUGUUUUCUCUAUGAUCAUCGUCGGUAUUCCCAUGAGGCAUAAAUUAAGCAAAAUUCCUACGUUCAAAGCUGAUAUACCUACAUUUUAAAAGCUAUGUGCUGCAACCUAAACAAGCGUCAUCCAUAUAGAACCGUAUCGCUUUAGUUAUUAAUUAAACAUCAAUAACCCGCACCCUUGACCUAAUAACCUCAUGACUGGAGCCUAUCAUCAUUCCAAUCAAAAUUUAUUGUAUAUAAACGUUCCUGGAAUACCGGAAAGUAAUUUAACACACGAUGAUCCAGAUAAUGCCACAGAUGCCUAUAAACGGAUUAUCUGCAGAAUAAAAUUGAUUUUUUGAAAAAAGAAA
Molecule: long non-coding RNA, 6474 nt
Organism: Drosophila montana
Lineage: Eukaryota; Metazoa; Arthropoda; Insecta; Diptera; Drosophilidae
Exons: 3
Source: RefSeq, a predicted model, not a curated record